AGUAACCUGCCCCUGACUCUGGGAUAAGCCCGGGAAACUGGGUCUAAUACCGGAUACGACACCUCCUGGCAUCGGGUGGGUGUGGAAAGUUUUUUCGGUUGGGGAUGGACUCGCGGCCUAUCAGCUUGUUGGUGGGGUAACGGCCUACCAAGGCGACGACGGGUAGCCGGCCUGAGAGGGCGACCGGCCACACUGGGACUGAGACACGGCCCAGACUCCUACGGGAGGCAGCAGUGGGGAAUAUUGCGCAAUGGGCGAAAGCCUGACGCAGCGACGCCGCGUGGGGGAUGACGGCCUUCGGGUUGUAAACCUCUUUCAGCAGGGACGAAGUUGACGUGUACCUGCAGAAGAAGCGCCGGCUAACUACGUGCCAGCAGCCGCGGUAAUACGUAGGGCGCAAGCGUUGUCCGGAAUUAUUGGGCGUAAAGAGCUCGUAGGUGGCUUGUCACGUCGGGUGUGAAAGCUUGGGGCUUAACUCCAGGUCUGCAUUCGAUACGGGCUGGCUAGAGGUAGGUAGGGGAGAACGGAAUUCCUGGUGUAGCGGUGAAAUGCGCAGAUAUCAGGAGGAACACCGGUGGCGAAGGCGGUUCUCUGGGCCUUACCUGACGCUGAGGAGCGAAAGCGUGGGGAGCG
RNAcentral lists this ribosomal RNA (633 nucleotides) under Streptosporangium sp. YIM 61358. RNAcentral's name for it is "bacterial SSU rRNA". It matches the Rfam family "Bacterial small subunit ribosomal RNA", at positions 120 to 770 of the family's 1533-position model. The record is from RNAcentral. Lineage: Bacteria; Bacillati; Actinomycetota; Actinomycetes; Streptosporangiales; Streptosporangiaceae.